CCGUCACUGUUGCUCACGUGCAACUCUGUACGCGGCCUGGAAUUGCACUUGAGCAAUGGUGACGG
This 65-nucleotide microRNA precursor is filed under the name Myotis davidii. RNAcentral describes it as "mir-367 microRNA precursor family". It matches the Rfam family "mir-367 microRNA precursor family". Lineage: Eukaryota; Metazoa; Chordata; Mammalia; Chiroptera; Vespertilionidae. The record is from Rfam by way of RNAcentral.